Molecule: long non-coding RNA, 446 nt
Organism: Triticum aestivum (bread wheat)
Lineage: Eukaryota; Viridiplantae; Streptophyta; Magnoliopsida; Poales; Poaceae
Exons: 2
Source: RefSeq, a predicted model, not a curated record
GCCAAGAAGAGAUCAAACAUACAUACAGUGUAGAAAAGAGAUAAGUAUCUUGGCAUGGCGUUUACCAAGAGGAACACAGGCGUGGUGUGCUUGGCCGCCCUCAUGGUGGUGAUGGCCACUGUGAUGCUGUUCUGUGAUGCCGAAUCAGAUAUCUGCUUUGAUAUCCCCGGACCAUGCGUGCAGUCGUUAUGCAAGGAAGCAUGUGCCAAAAACAAUACCCCAAAUAGACCCCGCUGCCAGCCCGUGACUGAUGAAUGCUGUUGCGACAUGGCCGCACGGCCCGAGGUCGCCGACGACGUCGUCCGUCAUGCUUGAUAGCAUAGCCUUGAUUCAUUAUUGGACACACAUUGUGGGGUGAUCAGGACAUGUAUGUAUAUGCAUGCGUGCGUCUCAGCAAUUGCAUUUUGAAUAACAAGAAAACACAAAAGAGUGCAUCAUUGUUCUGA